UGGAAACAAAGAUGAUGAGACCGAAGAUAAUGUUUAGGGAGGUGUUUUGAUGGAUUGUUAUCCAGAUGUCGUUGAAUUAUUAUUAUUUUUUAUAUGGAUGUUGGAUUAUUUUUUAAUGGAUGUUGAUGAAUUAUUAUUUUGGUAUGGAUGUUUAUGAUGUAGCUUGAACGAAAAAUAUUAUGAAUUAUAGAUGUCAUGAACGGAAAAUAGGCAUUGCGGAGCAUUCUGGAUCACUGGGUCCUAGCGGUCGCUGGGACCCAGCGGUCACUGGGACUCAGCGAUCGCUGGUCCUAGCAGUCCAGAAUGCAUGCGUUUGUUCAUUUCAAUUUCUACACAUCUCCUCAAUCCUAUGUCAUCUAUCACAAUAAUAUAUUAUCAGUACAAUGAACUCCAAACAAAUAUUCAUAAAACAAAUAGCAGAUUCCAUCAUAAAACAAAUUCAUAGUCGAAAUCCAAAUUCAAAUACAAACCCCCCCCCCCAAAAAAAAAAACAAUCAUCCAAAUAAAACAAUCCAAACAUUUAUCCAAAUUUAAAAUUUAAAAAAGAUCACCCACGAGGUCUCCACGC
Molecule: long non-coding RNA, 568 nt
Filed under: Salvia miltiorrhiza (redroot sage)
Lineage: Eukaryota; Viridiplantae; Streptophyta; Magnoliopsida; Lamiales; Lamiaceae
Description: long non-coding RNA (SMIL_LNC008495)
Source: RNAcentral